AUACGGAGGGUGCAAGCGUUACUCGGAAUCACUGGGCGUCAUGCGCGCGCAGGCGGCUUGAUAAGUCGGAUGUGAACGCCUACGGCUCAACCGUAGAACUGCAUCCAAAACUGUCAAGCUAGAGUCUGGGAGGGGAAGAUGGAAUUAGUUGUGUAGGGGUAAAAUCCGUAGAGAUAACUAGGAAUACCAAAAGCGAAGGCGAUCUUCUGGAACAGUACUGACGCUGAGGCGCGAAAGCGUGGGGAGCAAACAGGAUUAGAAACCCUAGUAGUCC
This 274-nucleotide ribosomal RNA is filed under the name uncultured bacterium. RNAcentral's name for it is "partial 16S ribosomal RNA". It matches the Rfam family "Bacterial small subunit ribosomal RNA", at positions 523 to 796 of the family's 1533-position model. The record is from RNAcentral.